AGCAGCCGCGGUAAUUCCAACUCCAAUAGCGUAUAUUAAAGUUGUUGCAGUUAAAAAGCUCGUAGUUGAAUUUCGGGAUCAAUGUGUUGGUCGUGCCUUGGUACGUACUGGCAUUAUCGAUUCCUACCUUCUGAAGAACCUCGAUGUCAUUAAUUUGGUGUCUUGGGGAAUCAGGACUGUUACUUUGAAAAAAUUAGAGUGUUUAAAGCAGGCUCGCGCUUGAAUACAUUAGCAUGGAAUAAUGAAAUAGGACGUUUGAUUCUAUUUUGUUGGUUUCUAGGAUCGACGUAAUGAUUAAUAGGGAUAGUUGGGGGCAUUAGUAUUCAAUUGUCAGAGGUGAAAUUCUUGGAUUUAUUGAAGACUAACUACUGCGAAAGCAUUUGCCAAGGAUGUUUUCAUUAAUCAAGAACGAAAGUUAGGGGAUCGAAGACGAUCAGAUACCGUCGUAGUCUUAACCAUAAACUAUGCCGACUAGGGAUCGGAUGAUGUUAAUUUUUAAUGACUCAUUCGGCGCCUUACG
This 520-nucleotide ribosomal RNA is filed under the name uncultured Glomeromycotina. RNAcentral's name for it is "SSU rRNA". It matches the Rfam family "Eukaryotic small subunit ribosomal RNA", at positions 569 to 1092 of the family's 1831-position model. The record is from RNAcentral. Lineage: Eukaryota; Fungi; Glomeromycota.